CUGAGAGGGAAGUCUGAGCGUGCAGAUUUUAAAGGAACUUGACUUAUGGCAUCAAACCCCCUUAGGAUGCAGAGACCACCAACAUACUCCUUCCUGACUUCACUGUGCCCAAGUGGGAUGACAUAAGGGCUUCCCAGGUGGCGCUAGUGUUAAAGAACCCUCCUGCCGGUGCAGAAGACAUAAGAGACGCGGGUUUGAUCUUGGGAAGAUCCCCUGAAAGAGGGCAUGGCAAGCCACUCCAGUAUUCUUGCCUGGAGAAUCCCAUGGACAGAGGAGCCUGGCGGACUACGGUCCAUGGGGUCGCACAGAGUCGGACACGACGGAAGCCACGCGGCACACAUGCGUGCAAGAUGACAGUAAACAAGCCAUUUCUAUUUCCAGGACACCCGAUUUUUUAGCAUCUCAGGAAGCGUCAGAAGAUUCUCAGGGUUGUUGAAAGGCGGUGCAGGACCCAGAGGGAGAACAGACGAAAGCUGAAUUUCGCCGACGUGGAGAUGACCUGGGAGCUGAAGACCUGACUUUGGUUCCUGGUUUUUGCCUCUUCCCACCUCUUGGGCUUGACUCUUUUCUUUCUCUCGUCCCCCGAGGCCUCAGUUUCCCCGCCUGAAAUGUGCAGCCAGAACAAUUUGCUAAUCCAGUGCCCAUGGAUGGGCAGAAAAAAUAUUUUGAAUUCUCAUCACCUUUUUUUCCUUUGAAUGAACUUGUUUAUCCCGCUGGACAGGGUCGGAGAGAGUCGAGGAGGAGGAGCAGCGAGGGGAGUGCCAUCCAGCUAAGCUGACGUGACGCAUUAGAAGGUCUGACCCCCGGACAGAGGGCCGUGUUGUCGGGCCUCGGAGCACCCUUCUGGAAGCCGAUGGCCAGGUCUGAUGCAACCGUGCCAGGAACUCCUGGGCCUGAAGGAACCCUGGCACCUAGCGUCUCUGCUCAGUGGGGAAGCUGACCCAGCCCAGCUCACAGGGAAGGCAGCACCUUUGGAACCUCUGCUGAACCCAACCUUUUGGCUGACUCAAGAUCUUUGCCCCCUGGAGCAUCCCAGGUCUCACAGAGCCAUUGUUGCUCUAUUUCUCUGCCUGCAGCUCAUUCUCCCUUCUCCCCUGUCUCCCUCCCUCUCCUCCUUUUCCCCAGCCCGCUGACCCCAACCCAGGAGCAGGUUCCCAUGCAUCCUUUGCUGACCAGCACAAGUGCCA
This 1187-nucleotide long non-coding RNA is filed under the name Capra hircus (goat). RNAcentral describes it as "lncRNA (ENSCHIG00000007006.1)". The record is from RNAcentral. Lineage: Eukaryota; Metazoa; Chordata; Mammalia; Artiodactyla; Bovidae.